UAUGAUAACUUUUUUCCACACCACCGCAACCGCUCUGGGCUCCACGUGAAUCCACCGAGCUUCCUGUCUAAUUAAGGAGAUAUAAGUGAGUGUAAGGGGAGAGAAUAUUAAGGUUUCAAUUUUAAAAAAAAAUCAAAAAAUUAUUAAAAUAAAAAAUAAAUUGAGUGACCAAUAUAGUUUUAAAAAAUUAUUAUCAAAGGUCUAGGUUGACUGAGCUGGACUUGGACCCAUGAAGUUGGCCCAGGUCUGAGCCGGGUCCGGGUCUAAAAGGACCCAUCCCAGACCCAUAAAAAAUCCGGGUCCGGGUCCAAAAAAUGAAUUUUUUAUUUACCUAAAAAAUUCAAUAAACAAUUAAAUAUACAAUUCUCCACUUCUUCAACAACAAAUGGAUGUUGGCCUCUCUCAAUCUGGACUUGCUGACAUUAAUUUCGAAAAAUCGGAUGCCGGAGAGUCUUGAGGACUAUCGUCCAAUCACUUGUCUGAGAGUAAUUUACAAGGUGUUCUCCAAAAUACUCGCCUCCAGACUAUCAAUCAUCCUGCCGAACAUCAUCAGCCCAAACCAGACCGUAUUUGUGAAGGGGAGAUCGACGGAUCGAUCACUGAUGCGAUUAGGCUCGCUCAGGAGUUCACUCAAUCCUUUAACUGUCAGAGCACGGCGAGAAGGGCUUGUGUAACGAUCGACUUCUCCAAGGUGUUUGAUACGCUCAGAUGGGACGCAAUCGAUACAGUAAUCGAGCAAUUGGGGAUAGACGACGCAUUCCGACGACUGAUAAUGACAUUUGUUACAUCUGCGUCGGUCUCGGCAUUAGUCAAGGGAUCUCCAACGAGAUUUGGGGAAACUAGAAAGAAGUUGCCUGGAGCAAUAUGACGAAAACAAAGCAGCAAGGUGGGCUGGGGGUUCGUGACUACAGGAUGACGCAGAUGGCUGCAAUUGUGGACAGAGCGUGCCGACUAUGGGAUGGAGAGGGUAUAUGGAGUGUGUGGAUGCGAAGAAGGUAUGUGAGGGAGCGUCCUCUAAGCUUAAUUGAACCAAAGCAUAACGAUUCCUCGGCGUGGAAAACAACUCUUCGACACCGAGCACAAAUUGCGAAAUGUGCGCAAUUGGGCUAGGGAGGGGGGAAUUCAAUCAAAAAUGCGAUAGCUACAUUACGCCCUCAAUUGCCCAAGGACGACUUGGCCAGAGGGAUCUGGGCUAUUAAAGUUGGGAAGGUGUCGCUAAAUCUGUGGAGGAUACGCUGGGGGAAUUUGCCUACGAAGGAUAGGCUCAUUGCACGGGGAAUGACAAUGACUGGAAUGUGCGAAUUAUGUAACAAAGAGCUGGAGACGAUGGAUCAUCUGUUCUUUGGGUGCGACUACACCAAAUGGGUGCUCAGGGAAGCCGCAGACUCACUGGUAAAAUUUGAUAUGGUCAACUUGUUCAAAGAAGCGACACUGGAAUUGAAUAAAAUCACAAUUAGAUCACCGGCCUGGGGGCUCAACUGGACAUUAUUCGGAGUAGUGCACUUCCAUAUCUGGAAGGAGCGGAACCAUCGAAGGGUGCAUGGGAAGUCUGGACCAAAGCAUGACCUGCUCCGGCGACGUAUUACGAUGGCGGAGAUCAGCUUCGAUGAGCGGAAAUACAAGUGUAGAUCGAGGAAUGGCAAGGAACACAUAGCGUUGCUGCAAUGGGAUGCUCUAAUGCUGCUCAUCCAUGACAAGGAUGGCAGGGGUUAGCGCUGGCUAGCCGCCGGGCAAAUAGGUAGAAAAUUAAUUAGUUUAGCUUAUUAACCUUAAACGAUAUUUAAACCUCUUUUAAAUUAAUACCAAAGUAAACUUAUCAAAAAAUAAAUUAAAUAUAUAAUAAAAUAAAAUAAUUAAAUAUACUAUAAAAUAUAAAUGGUGUAUUUAUAUUUCACCCGUUACUACUAUAUAUUAAAAUAUUUAUAUUUAAACCUUAACUUACUAAUAUAUUAUAAAAUAUUUAUCUAACAUUUAUAAUAUCCGGGUCCGUGUCCAGUCGGGUCUGGCUAAUCUGGACUCGGAUCCAUUUACAACCCUAGUUCCAAGUAAGAAUGCUCCUUUAGUUCUUGGUUUUUUUUUUAAAUAGAUGCAUGCUCUAGACAAUGAAAUUUAUAAAUUAUGAAUAAUGUCAAUGAAUUUUUAUUUUUCUUUAGAUUGAAUGUAUUAUAAAUUGAAUAAAUUUGUAUUUUUCUUUAGAUUGAAUAUAUUAUAAAUUGCAAGGUUUCCUAUGCAUUUAUACGUUAAUGCGAUGACUAAAUAAACAUAUAAGUAUAUGCAACCUGUUAUAUUUACAUGUCUAGAAAAGGAUAAAAAAUCAGAAUAGAAAAGGAUAAAAAAGAAGAAUGGAGAAUAAACUAAAACGUUUGGACAGCAGCAAGGGGGUCGACGGCAGUGGGCAGUAUGCGUUUAUGCAGCAGCAAGGGGGACAACAGUGGGCAGUAUGCGUUUGGAUAAUAGCAAGGGGGGCGGCAGUGGGCAGUCGUGUGAAAUUUGGGAGUAAAAAAAACCUAUGCAUCUUUUACUCCCAAAAUACUUAAAUACCCCUUUUUAAUUAUUUUAAAUUGGCAAAACCCGUUGGGCGCCCAAUUAGACAACCCGACCCAGAUCCGCCUAACACAUACAUCAGUCAUGCGAUGGUCUGGAAAGACACAUGGUCGUUUAUGCGGCGCAAAAACGUCGCAUAAACGACGCAUAGGAAACCUUGAUAAAUUGAAUGGUUGUGAAUGAAUUGAAUGUAUUAUAAAUUAUGUAUUAUGAAUGUAUAUUUUCAUGUAGAAAAGUGGAUGUGUAAGGCUCCUAAAGAGCACCCAUUCAAGUUUUGACAAAAAAAAUUGUCGAUAUAAUAAAUUAGCGACAGCAAGUUGAGACAUGAACUAAUUAAAAAUAAUAAUUACGGCGGCUUAGAGACGGCAAGUUGACACAGAAACUAAUUAAAAAAAUGAUUAGGAACGACAAGUUGAGACAAGAACUAAUUAAAAAAAUUAUUGAAACGACAAGUUGAGACAAGAAUUAAUUAAAAAAUUAUUGGGAACGGAUUAAGGACGGAAAUUUAAAAAUUUAGAAACGAUUUAAGGACGGAAAUAAUAAUCCGAAAAUUAAAUUUUUGACGCGAAAAAAAUAAAUAGAGACAGUUUAGGGUGUGAGUUAAAAAUAUUUAGGAACGGAAAUAAAAAUUUAGGCGCCAAAAUAUUCACGCGGAAAAUAAUUAGGGACGAAUUAAAGACGAUUUAACCCUAACCCUUAAUUAACGACGGACAAUGCCAUUCCUAAGCAACCCCUAAUUUUUAGGGACGGAAAUCAAGACCGUCUCUAGAAAGUCAACGAGACGACUUACGGGGACGGGUUGGGGACAACCAUUUCUUGUCUCUAAGUGUCAAUUAGCGACGGUUUUUGGUCAUUAAGGACGACACCUGUAGUGUAAGUCAUUUUUCUUGUAGUGUAAGUUUAGAUGAUAAACUGUAAUGUCAACAGUAGAAAAAUCUACAUGAUAAAAUUUCGUUAAAUUCAGUACAUUUAUUUUAUCAUAAAAACGAAAUUCAUUAUCCGACGUUAAACAACUCAUGCAUUGAAUUACAUCCAUAUUUGAUGUUACAAAAUUAAUGAUCAUUCAACUUUUUCAACUACUUGUCAAUAACUAGAUAAAACAAUUCAGCACGAUGUCGAUGAAUAUUUGUUAAUUACCUUCUGAAGUAAACGUACGUCUUGAUCUACUAGGGGGAUGAAUGAAGGUGAGAGGUGUGGAGUUGUGGAGAGUGGAGUCAAAAAAUAAAAAUAAAAUGAAUAGAUGGAGUACGAGGAGGAAGAGGAAAAGGAGGAGAAAAGAGAAAGAACGAAAUUUUUAAAUCCUUAGAUAUAGAUAGAUAUAAAUGAACAACUAUGGGUAAUUGAGGUAUAAAUAUAAUAAUAAAUUAAUUAUUAAUAAGAUAAUGAUUGAUAAACAAAAUAUUUUUAAAAUGUUUAGUAUUAUUUAGUAAUAUUUUAAAAAUUUAAUGUUUAUAAAAAUAAAAUAUCUAGUAUUAUAAUAUUUAUAUAUUUUAAAUGGUGGGUGAGAAGGUGCGGGGCGGUCCCUUCACUGGAAAACAGGGCGAGGAAUGAGACGGGUCAGGUACUCUACCUCCCUAACCCGAGACCCACCUCGGACCCGGGGCGACCCGCCUGAAAUUAAAAAAAAAAGUAAACCUAAAAUUGAAAAUGGGUAACUUUUUACCCUAAUUUUUAAAAAAUUUAACCUUAAUAAUCUUAUAUCUAAUAUAAUAUAAUAAUAUUUUUAAAAAAAUUAAAAAUUAUUUUGCAAAAAAAACCGGGGCGACCCGCCCGGGUUUUGCCCUGCUCCGAGACCCACCCCGGAAUAUGACCGGGGCAGCGGGGCAAAAAAUUAAAAAUGGGGCAGAUAUUCUGCCCCGUCCCCGGUUACCACCGGGUGGGGGGCUCAAGCCCUUACAUUCGCCACUGCGUCAAUCGAUCUUUUAUAGAAUCUUUUCUGUCUAGGCAUUAUCCUAUAAAUGAUAGAAGAAAGACUUUAAUGGUACGUGACGAAGCACGGAAUCUGCUAUCAGGGGGCUCGUGGGGUUACGAGAAGGGCCGAAGGCUCUGGAGUCCACGACGUGCGCUCUACGUCAAAUCCUGUCAGAAGAGAAUAGGCGAUUCUGGUGUGGGAAUCGGCGAUUCUCUCUGUAUUGCUUUAGUUGUGAUGGAACUUCUAUUCUGCCUUGGAGUGACCCCUUGGGACCCUUUUUAUAGGGUUUUUGGGGGUGCACUCCGCGGCGGGCAUCGCGCCUAAUGUCAUAACGGGGUACAUUAAUGACCCAUUAUGAUGCAAACUGACAACGAGUAACGGACGUAAAUCGACGAUUCAGGUAUGGAAUCACCUAUUUAGUAACAAACUCGGCGAGUUCUGAGGGGCGAGAUCGGAAGUCUACCAUACUGACUAUCUGUGCCCUAACUCAGCGAUUUACCACUAAAGUCGGCGAUUUCUUCAGAUUAAACUAACCUUAUGGGCCUUGAGAUAUGAGCCUUGAACUAUCUAUUUAACUAAAUAGAGGAUUAGAAGAUAAAUGACAAAUAACUUCAAUAAGCUUCAAUAAAUAUCGUCACUAUUUAUAGAAGAAAAAAAGAUAUUUAGCGAUGAUAUAUUCAUAUCGUCACUAACAUCGCGCGUUUUCUUCAAAAUCCUUGAUGAAAUUUAACGACGAUCGAAAUUCGUCGCAAAAAUCGUCGUUGUAGACCUCUUUUCUUGUAGUGGUGUAUAAAAUGAAGAUGGACGUCAUUUGAAUCUAACACUCAUUCAUUGGUAAAAAUAAUAUUUAAUAUCUAAUUUUUUUAACUUGGAUUUCAACUAAUUCAAUUUUUCAUGAUCCGAUGUUUCAAAUUAGGUCGCCGACAAUCCAACGGCGAAUCCAGAAUUUUUUUUCUCCAGGGGGCUAAUUUUAAAUCAUUUAAAUAAAUUCAGAAAUAUUUUUUUUUAAUCCAAUUGUUUUCGACGAGGUGUCAUAUUUUCAUACAGAUACAUAAUAUCAUCAUUACUAACACUAAAAAAUAAAUAUUUUUUAACAUAUGUUAAUAGAAUAUAUAUCAGUCAUUCAAGUAUCAUCCAUACGAUUGCGAGAACUUAAUUUCACAAGAUUUAUUAAUGAAAAGGAUUUUUCCACUGAAACAGUCACAACUGGUAAUGUGAGUGUUAAUUUUAACAAACGAAACACCGAAGAAAAUACGAUAUCUUUUCUUUUCUCAAUUAACUUUACAGUUAACUCUCCAAUUUCAUUUAAAUUCGAAUGUUUUUCGUUAUUACGUACAUGAAAAAUGUAUUAUAGCAGUUAAUCUUCAAAAACUCUAAUGUCAACAGUAGAAAAAUUUACAUAAUAAAAUUUUGUUAAAUUUCAUACCUUUGUUUUAUCAUAAAAACGAAAUUCAUUAUCCGACGUCAAACAAUUAACUCAUGCAUUGAAUUAGAUCCAUAUUUGAUGUUACAAAAUAAUUAUUCAACUAUUUCAUCUGCUUGUCAAUAGCUAGAUAAAACAAUUCAGCACGAUGUGUCGAUGUCAAUGAAUAUUUGUUACCUUCUGAAGUAAACGUACGUCUUGAUGUACUAGGAGGGAUGAAUAACGGUGGGAGGUGUGAAAUUGUGGAAAGUGGAGUCAAAAAAUAAAAAUAAAAUGAAUAGAUGGAAACCGAGGAGGAAGAGGAGGAGGAAGAGGAGGAGAAAGAGAAAGAACGAAAUUUUUAAAUCCUUAUAUAUAUUAUAUAUAUGAACAACUAUGGAUAAUUGAGGUAUAAAUAUAGUAAUAAAUUAAUUAUUAAUAGGAUAAUAGUUUAUAAACAAAAUAUUUUAAAAUAUUUAGUAUUAUUUAGUAAUAUUUAAAAAAAUUAAAGUUUAUAAAAAUAAAAUAUUUAAUAUCAUUAUGUUUAUAUAUUUUAAAUGGUCGGUGGGGUAUAGUUAAGGGUGAUAACGGGGUGUGGGCGGGCGCGGACCCUUCCCAGUAUCUGUCCUAUUCUGGAAAAACGGGGGGCGGAACGAGGCAGGUCAGGUACUCUACCUCCCUGCCUCGGGUCCGGUGACCGAGGCGGAUCCGGGGCGACCUGCCUGAAAUUUAAAAAAUUAUAUAAAAAAAGUAAACCUAAAAUUUAAAAUGGGUAAACUCUUUACCCUAAUUCUUAACAUUUUUAAUCUUAAUAAUCCUAUAUCUAAUAUAAUAUAUUUUAAUUUAAAAAAAAUCAAAAAUUAUUUUUCAAAAAAAAACCAGGGCGACCUGCCCGGGUCUUGCCCUGCCUCUAGAUCCGCCUUGGAAUAUGACCGGGCAGCGGGGCAAAAAAUUAAAAACGGGGCAGAUAUUCUGCCCCAUUCCCGGUUAAAUGUAUACAGAAUCUUUUACACCCACUGCAUCAAUCGAUCUUUUACAGAAUCUUUUCUGUCUACGCAUUAUCCUAUAAAUGUAUAUUUUUCAAACGGAGAAACCAAAGAGAGAGAAGGAGAACUAGAGAGAUUCCGUACCGAGUCCAGGGGAUCUUGGAGUUCCACUGCCACCCGGGGUCGGAGACGACUCCAUGGGAGCUACAUAAGUCGAAUCCGAAGAUUCCAUGGUGAGAGUUGAGAGAAGGGAAGUAGAAAUGAAAAGAGGGAAUAUUAAGCGGAAACAGAAGCAGAACAAAGGUCACGCCAUCCCUCCCGUUCUUUCUUUAACGGGAUAACGUGGUUCUGAAUUUUUUUUUCUUUUAUUUUUUUCCUCUGUAAAAUCAAUUCAGUCCCUGUCAAUUUGUCAAAUGACAAACAAUUACGUUGCACUCAACCACAAUUUGUCAAAGCCUAAAGCUAAAUGUAGCUUUAAUAUAAAUAAAU
Molecule: long non-coding RNA, 7333 nt
Filed under: Zostera marina
Lineage: Eukaryota; Viridiplantae; Streptophyta; Magnoliopsida; Alismatales; Zosteraceae
Description: long non-coding RNA (ZMAR_LNC004987)
Source: RNAcentral